UCUUCUUUAAGAAGAAAGAAGUCCAGUCACGGGCGUGCUGACAUCAUCGCUCAUCGCGCAGUGCACAUAUUUUCCAGUUUGCGAGCGGGAACUGACACGAACGGUUUCGGAUUCGCAAGCGGGAACUGAGACGGACGGUUUCGGGUUCACAAGCGCGAUGGAUGGACGGAUACUUAGGAGCACGUCGCGCGGAAACUGAAAUGGACGGAAGAUGGGACACUUUCAGAGUAUACAUGGCAUUUAAGGGCAGAAAUGGCCACAGAACUGCUCCAAGUGAACAAUGUGAAAAGUGAGAUGGUUGUCCUGAUUGGCAUAAAUGCAGUAGGUGCAGUCCAACAGAACAAAAAAAGUAGUUGAUUCUUUACUCUCUGUUGAAAUGUGUCUGUGUUCCCUUACAAGUUGCAACUUUUUGCUGAAAAUGGUAUAGCCAAGUUCUGUAAGUUUUGGCUACCGUGGAAGUCCAAAUCCAGUUUGAAUGAUUGCGAGAUUGAAAGCUGCAUAGCAGAUUGCCCCACUGUUUUGUAACUAGAACUGAUUUGUAUUUACAUUAGAGAUAUGUUUAAGUGGCAAUUGUGUAAAGAAAUAAAAACUUUUCUAAAACUGUU
Long non-coding RNA from Protopterus annectens (West African lungfish), 605 nucleotides. RefSeq lists it as uncharacterized. Lineage: Eukaryota; Metazoa; Chordata; Ceratodontiformes; Protopteridae. The transcript has 2 exons. The record is from RefSeq and is a predicted model, not a curated record.